Ziziphus jujuba (common jujube) is the source of this 1199-nucleotide long non-coding RNA. RefSeq lists it as uncharacterized. The record is from RefSeq and is a predicted model, not a curated record. Lineage: Eukaryota; Viridiplantae; Streptophyta; Magnoliopsida; Rosales; Rhamnaceae. The transcript has 2 exons.
UAUUUAUCAUUCUCUUGUUUCAUUUUGAUAUGUUAUUUUGCAGUUGAGUUAAACAUUAUUGAUUAAUAUUUAUCAUUCUUUUGUUUUUCAUUGGAUAUAUUUUAGUGUUCACAAGUUAAGGAAGCUUUUGUCUGACAAGGAUGCAUACCAUCAAUUUUUACUUUCGCUCGAUGAAGUUAAAAUUCAAAAUAAUGUAUGUACAUAAGCUUUUUCUCUUAGUUGGGAAUCUGUCUGUAGUACUUAAGUGCAUAAAGUGCAUGCAUCAACCCCUUUUUAAAAUGCUUGUUAGUGAAUAUUGGGUAUUGUGCUAAUACAAUGACUUUUGUGCUUGAUUUAUAUGGUUUAUUAAUGAGCAUGGUGGUUUAUGCCUUCCCAAUAUAUAGUAGUUUCGCUAUUGUGAUACUUGAGUCUAUGUUCUGAUUAUUUUUCCUAGAUAUUUUUUUGCAACUUGACAAUUAUCAGCUUAGAGAUGAAAUUCGCAAAAAAAGACUGCAGCUAGGGAGUUAUUCUUUUCUUGUUAUCUACUAGUUUUUGCUAUAUUAGUCAUGCACAAUUGGAUUAUGCAUGGAGAUAUCUACUAGAUUUUUUUUUAAUUAUAUAUAUAUAUAUAUAUAUCAGUCGAGCACAAUUGAAUUAUGCAUGGAGAAACAGAUCCUGAAUUUAUUUACACUCACAGGGAAACUUGGAAAAGGAACCGCACAUUAUGGAGCUUAGAAUCAAGUAAUAUUUAUCUUGCUUUCUUUAGGUGGUGUCGAAAUUAUUGUAUUGACUGUGAAACAUUUUCUCCUGUUUGUAUGGUACAUGGUGCAGAAUUAUGAGAACAACAGAGUUGGCUGCUGCAGAGGAGAAGUUACAUGAGCUUGACAGACAAAAGGAAGAAAUGUUGAGGUUCGGUUCCCCUGCUUCCCUUUUCCAAAGGCUUCAAGAUGCAAUGAACAUGACAGAUGAGAAAUCUGAAAAUCUACACAAGCAGCUUUUUGUGCAGAUAUACAAGAAGCUUCGAACCACUUAAGUGAGCAUUCAUUCAUCUUGCAGCUAAAACAAAUUCACUAAGUUGAAUUGAUAUUAUAGAAAGAUAUAUACUUGGAACACAUUGAAAUCUUACUUCUAGUUUCAAUGCAUUGGCUAGAUAAACGUGAUUGUCUGUGUAUUAUUUGGUUAAAUAUUUUCUCUUUGCUAGUAUAUCAGUUUUGACAGCA